This 2231-nucleotide unclassified non-coding RNA is filed under the name Actinia tenebrosa (Australian red waratah sea anemone). RNAcentral describes it as "paraplegin-like, transcript variant X3". The record is from RNAcentral. Lineage: Eukaryota; Metazoa; Cnidaria; Anthozoa; Actiniaria; Actiniidae.
AGAAAAACUAUAAACAAAAUACAAAAUGGCGGACAAGUAGGGCUUGUGACAUAAUGCGGAUAAAAACUACUCUUUAUGACGAUAUAGAAACAACAAACUAGUUCUAAAUCUUAAAAGAUUGUCACGCAAAAUUAUGGUCUUAAAGUAUUAGCGUUAUUUCGACAUGAAUAAUAUUCUANGCGGAUGUUGUGGACCAAACAAGACAGUUUUCCAGCCUGCACUAAGAAUGAGCCAGAGACUAUUUUGCAGUUUAUCACGUCCAAGGGUCGAUACUUACAGGCUCAACGCUGGCCUAAGGCAGAAAUGGAAGCAAAAAGAACAGCAAGGACUUGUUCAACUGAUACGAAACAGAAAUUUUGGUAGUUUUAGGGGAAUUUUUGCGAAGCCGGGGACAAGAUUGCAACUGCCUCCAGUUUUGUGUUAUUCUUUAUACCCAUUACUAAGAAAAGGAGAUAUUCGUUAUGGUUUUUCAAAGCUAUUUUCAACAAGUUUUUGCAGAGCUCAAAACAAUGAAGACGAAAAGAAAAAAGAGAAUGAGCCAAAGCUAGGUGAGGACCCAAAUCAAGGUGGCUGGAUCCAGAUCCUUCCAUGGAUUAUCCUAGCAGCAUUUUAUCUACUUACAGCAGGAACAGAUCCUACACCAGAAACAACAUGGUUGGCAUUUUAUAGAGAGAUGCUUACCAAUGGAGAGGUGGAGCGUCUCGAAAUACCUGCAUCUCAGGACAAAGUGUACGUGUAUUUACACCGAGGGGCAAUAGUGGCUGGAAAAGAGGUUUUCUCUUAUGGUCCACACUAUGUGUUCAGUAUAGCAAGUCUGAAUAGUUUUGAACAGAAAAUGCACCAAGCUCAACUAGAACUCAAGAUUCCUCCACAAGAAUACAUUCCGAUCAAAUACAGGGCACAGAAUGAGCUUCUGUCCAGUUUAGUUGGAGCAGCAACAGCUGUGGCUUUCAUUGGUAUAGUCUGGUACUUGAUUGUUGGCCGAAGAGCGCCUGGAGGGGGGCGUAAAGGAGGCAUCAUGGGAGCCAACCCCUUUUCCAGCUACAUCAAGGCCAAAGCAACGGUCAUAAUGCCAGGAAAAAGCCAGGGAGUCACGUUUAAAGAUGUUGCUGGAAUGGAAGAGGCAAAGAAAGAAGUCAUGGAAUUUGUGGAUUACUUGAAGUCUGCUACAAGAUACAGUCGUCUUGGAGCCAAGAUACCAAAGGGUGCACUUCUAGUUGGUCCUCCUGGUACCGGAAAGACUCUCUUAGCCAAAGCUGUCGCUUCAGAAGCUGAGGUACCCUUCCUUUCCAUGGCGGGCUCAGACUUCGUAGAAAUGUUUGCAGGUGUUGGUUCUGCUAGAGUCAGAGAUUUGUUUGCAAGAGCCAGGAAACUAUCACCGUGUAUUGUCUAUAUCGAUGAAGUGGAUGCUAUUGGAAGAUCUAGAAAAUCUAGUCAGGCGAUGGGUGGUCACAAUGAACAAGAAAAUACUCUAAACCAACUUUUAGUGGAAAUGGAUGGAAUAAAUACCGUAGAAGGCGUAGUUAUGUUGGCCUCGACAAACAGGGCAGACAUAUUGGACCAGGCUUUACUGCGUCCAGGUCGCUUUGAUCGCUACAUUGCUAUUGACCUACCAACCUUGCCUGAAAGAAUAUCCAUAUUUGAAGUUCACCUGAAAAAGUUGACUCUAAGGAAUUCGUUUAAGAGUUAUUCCAGACGGCUGGCUGAGCUGACUCCUGGAUAUAGUGGUGCUGACAUUGCCAACAUCUGUAAUGAAGCUGCCCUUCACGCUGCUAGACUUAAUGAAAAAUCCGUGGAUUCCAAGAACUUUGAAUAUGCCGUGGAAAGAGUCAUUGCUGGAAUGGAAAAGAGAAGCAAUACCAUAACUCCCCAAGAACGAGAAACCCUUGCUUUCCAUGAAGCAGGUCACGCCUUAGUAGGAUGGAUGUUGGAGUACACUGAUCCAUUACUCAAGGUUUCUAUCGUCCCUCGUACGAACUCUACACUUGGUUAUGCUCAGUAUCUACCAUCUGAUCAGAAACUGUACACCACAGAACAGCACUUGGUGGACGGGCAGCGGAAAGUAAAAUAUUCAGGAGAAUAACCACCGGAGCUGAAGACGACUUGCGUAGAGUUACAGAUAUGGCAUACAGACAAAUCGUUACCUUUGGAAUGAAUGACCGCGUGGGCAACAUAUCAUUUCCCGUGAAGAGAUCAUCAGAGCUGGGCAAGAAGCCAUACAGUGAUAAGUU